RNAcentral lists this ribosomal RNA (490 nucleotides) under uncultured bacterium. Its description in RNAcentral is "partial 16S ribosomal RNA". It matches the Rfam family "Bacterial small subunit ribosomal RNA", at positions 30 to 507 of the family's 1533-position model. The record is from RNAcentral.
AUUGAACGCUGGCGGCAGGCCUAACACAUGCAAGUCGAACGGUAACAGGAAGCAGCUUGCUGCUUCGCUGACGAGUGGCGGAUGGGUGAGUAAUGUCUGGGAAACUGCCUGAUGGAGGGGGAUAACUACUGGAAACGGUAGCUAAUACCGCAUAACGUCGCAAGACCAAAGAGGGGGACCUUAGGGCCUCUUGCCAUCGGAUGUGCCCAGAUGGGAUUAGCUAGUAGGUGGGGUAACGGCUCACCUAGGCGACGAGCCCUAGCUGGGCUGAGAGGAUGACCAGCCACACUGGAACUGAGACACGGUCCAGACUCCUACGGUAGGCAGCAGUGGGGAAUAUUGCACAAUGGGCGCAAGCCUGAUGCAGCCAUGCCGCGUGUAUGAAGAAGGCCUUCGGGUUGUAAAGUACUUUCAGCGGGGAGGAAGGGAGUAAAGUUAAUACCUUGGCUCACUGACGUUACCCGCAGAAGAAGCACCGGCUAACUCCGUG